Molecule: ribosomal RNA, 4084 nt
Filed under: Triticum aestivum (bread wheat)
Lineage: Eukaryota; Viridiplantae; Streptophyta; Magnoliopsida; Poales; Poaceae
Description: partial small subunit ribosomal RNA
Source: RNAcentral
CUAACACUUAUGGUAAAAACAAACACAUCUGUUUUCAGGUUGCUUAAGUGACCUGACUUCCGGUUCCGUAAUCGGUGAAAAACCACUCGAAAUCGUUGAGCAUCGGUCGGUCGUAUAUUAGCCUACCCGCAAAAGAAAAGAAAGAAAGAUGUAUAUUAGUACUACUAGUGGCCACUUAAGCUAGACUUUUGAACCAUCGCGGUUUAGCGGGUUUGUUCAAGUGAUGAGGUGACGAUGCCAUGCGUCGCCGGCUGCCGUCCCGUGGUUGUGUCGUCGAUGAGGUUGUCGGAAGCAGACGAGGGGGUUGAGGUGACGAGACGACUCGGCGGUACCGCCUCGAGCUCCGGCCCAGGUAGAGGUACCGCCGGCCGCCGCCGCCGGCUGAUGCCUUGCGGGACUCGCCGCACGACACACGAAAGUGGGAGGAGGAAUAGCCGCAGGAGCGGAAGAGGUAGGCGGAGAAGAGGCACUAGUUCAUGCUCUCGCACUAGGUGCUCAAGCUAGGGAUGAAGUUGAUGGCGCAGUGAGUCAAAAACAGUUUCUCACCUUAGAUGCUCAAAACCUUGACCAAACUGCUAGCUUGUACCAUGGGGGAGCCUGCACAAUAACCGCCGUGGCACCGGCCUCUUCUACCGGCUCGAUCUCCUCCUGCACCAAGGACCCUACUAGCCACCUUCCAUCCUAGACAGCUACCUCCUACCCAUCUCCGCUCGACCCCUACCCAAAGACAGCUACUUCCCAUCUACCCUUGCUCGAUCUGCUCCACCUUCUCAGGACGAGACUAUGGUAUAACUUAAGUACGAGGUCGGUUGAGGAAGUUUUCAGGCUUGACUACCUCCCUCCGCCCGUUAUAUAAAGUUGUGAGGGGGAGUGCAGAUCCGAUAAAAUCAGGAAUCUGCACCCUAGCCACAUCCGGCGUCUUAGCAAAAAUAAAUUAUAAUUAUGACGUAACCGUCCCAGAACUUGAGUUCUGGAGAACCGAGACUAUGGUACAAUUCUUACCAAAUUCGCAGAGUUAGUGGCAUUGUACCACUGGGCGUACAUAAACAUAACUAUACUGAACCUCAUGUUCCCUUGGCUACCAACGUCGGAUUGGUAUGCCCUCUCUAUAUGUUCCCUAGAUCUAUCUCUAUCUUAUGUCUCUAUUCAAUAGAUUGAUUGAUGGAGGGAACUAUGCGAACUGUUGUUAUAACCAAUUGUCCAACAUGACCCUUGUGAAGACCGUCGUAACCAUGGACACCAACCAAAAUUACGUUAUAACUGUAGUCUCGUGAAACGUAGUAAAGACCAUGUGGUUAACUAAUAGAUGGAUGCGUACACAAGGAAAGGGGGGGAAUUUAACAGACUAAAGUGGGUUAAAAACAUAUAGACAAUUUUUUAACGAUGAGGGAGGUUAGGUAUAAUGAACAGCGAGUUUACCUACAUAAAUCGUGACUUUAUGCAGAUCUAUGUAGGCAAACUCACUGUUCAUUAUACCUAGCCUCCCUCAUUAACGAAAGAGAAAUAAAGACUUUUACUACUAACUUAAGGUCCACAAAUAUUAGGAGGUACACCAACGAGAACACAUAAUGUAGUUUCCUGAAAAUUGAGGAGCCGACAAGUUUCACCGGUACUGUAAACAUGAUUGCCAACCGAAUCGGGAAACAAAGCGACAUCAUCGCCAUGAACGACGUAACCAGCGUAGAUCGGGUUGUUUUCCAACCUCACCCGCGUCAAACUCAGAUGAACUGGGUUGUAUACGUUCGUUCAUGUAGGGAUAGUAACGAUCGCACUCGCUUGUAGUUGGUGGAUGGACCGGAAGAAUGAAAUACCGAUAGUUACACGAUCGGAAGAAUCAAGGACGACCCUAGUAUAGUACGAAGAAUGGAAAUAGACUACGUUCGAGUAAAAACCAGAACAUGAACCAUUGAAGUCAUAUAAAGAGACCCCAUUACCAUGCUGACUACGAACAAGAACGGGGACGACACACGUAAAACAGACCCUAACGAGACAGUCUUCGAAAAUUACAGGAGUGUGCUAGUUACUUUAAAGUCGCGGGUUAUAGUCUACUAUGGGAAGGUUGACCUCCUCUAUCAUGGGGUCCCUCAAGGUCAUGUCGGUGAUAGUGUUGAAGGUGCUUUUUACGCUUGUAUUUUUUUCUUUUUUACCCCUGAUAAAGUUUCCUUUCUAGUAGUUUCUUCUCAGCCUUCCUUUGUCUUAACCACCCUUCAAGAGGACAAUCCGGGCUUUUCCUCCUCUUCGAAACACAUGACGGAAGACUUCGUAGACGGUACCCAUAUGACAAGGACUAGUACGAAACACCUGAAAUACACUAGGUAACACAUACCCGUCGACGUCUUCGUAUGAGACGUGGGAGUUAACACGACUGUAGUGCAAGUGUGUUGCCCAACGUACAAAUACUGCUAAAGGCACUUAGAAUACGUACCGACGCGGUAUUGUGUCUUCAUCUGCUAUUCCAACGCAGUACCACCCUGAUACCAAUAGUCUGUUGACGUUACCGGUUGUCCUGACACUAACAUCUGUUAUUAUGGACCUUAUUGUGCGUGUAUCGCUGUCAACCCUGUCGUUACAGUAGGGGUCUUUUUCCUCGUACCCUCUAGAAGUUAAGGAAUCUACAGUUUAUACACGAACACCAGAAACCUCCCGAAUCACCGAUGGGUUCACUACUAUAAUUAUUCAAGGAGACCUACCAAGCUUAGCCUCCACCACUUAAGGGAGUGUAGUUCCUUGUCCUAAUGGAAUCCCUACCGUUGAUGGCACAACUACGAGUCCCGUGAGGUUGUUACGACUUAACGGAGUACAUGUUCGAAACAAUAAUGUCUAAGCGACUCUGACUACCGUUCCCCAAACUGUCUCGCUCUUUUAUACUUUAUCCUUCCUUCGUAAAAUUUGACUGGGUAAAACUCCUCCAAAAAUGUUGGGUCGUGACCUACCAAUCCUAAAUGUUUGACUUUGGCGUUUUCUUGUCCCAGGCUCCUUUCAACUUUGACUUUAACUUUAUAUCAAGCUUUUGUUCAAAUUACGCGUUUCCCCGACCUUUCUUCUUGGGUACCGUCAUCAGCUUAUCUCUUGUGUACGGGUGAUAAUGGGAAUUUCUUGUGUUUGAGUGAUAAACCGAACGGGUUUCAAGGGCUAGAGCCCUUUUAAUGUGCGAUUGCUCUUCUUGAACCAAUCUCUAUAGGUGUAAAAACAUAUGAAACGGCGCACAGUGUAAAGAGAGAGAAUGUGGAGGUCACACCAAGACACCACGUUCCUCUCCUUUCUCCAUAGGGCCUACGUCCUCUAAGGUAAAGGGUACAUCGUUAACUCACUUGUUGUCUUUAAAACUUAAUACAGUUCCUCGCUUGUUGAACGACACACGACAUAUGUUGCAACGUGGAGCCGUAGUAGCAGUGGUGAAGAGGGACUCGUUUCGUUCACGGAUACUAUGGAACUUUACCAUACUAACCGUGAUACAAUGUUUUCAAUAUAAACUUCGUCACUCCAGGUUUUUAUACUUGGGAAAAUACUUUCCCUUCCUUAAUAAGACAUACGUCGGACCUAUUCGACCUUCGGAACUAUAAUACAUCUCAAACUUAAUCAAAACCAACCCCACACGGUCCGGUCCCGUCAUCACGUUGCGGGUCUGCUGUGUACACUUGGGGUCAUCGUUCGAUGAUAACACCUGGUGGGGGUAUUUUUUAUUUAAAUUAUAGUAACAUUCGUGUACCGGGUGUAUAGUCUAUAAUUUGACUAUUCUUGUCUAUGAUGUGAACUAGAAUCGGUUUUCCGGCUCUUUCCAUACUCAAGAGAACCACGCGACGGAGAGCAAAAUAUGUGGAGAGGGCCGAGCGAGGCGAGCCGCACCAAAAAGUAAAAAAGACUUCCGACCCUAGCCGCAUCGACCCGAGAAGCAUUGGUUUAGAGGGUUCCGGUUCCGGGUCUGGCAUUGCGUUGCUGCUGGAACGACGCUCAUUUGCUAUUUCGGGUUUGAUGUGCGAAACGCACCGGACUUUUGUUUCGAUGCAGCCUCCUUUGCCUGGCUUUUCUACCGAGUUGGCCACCCAUGGUAGCUCUGGGUCCAUAACACGCAGAGCACAGAAUU